RNAcentral lists this ribosomal RNA (468 nucleotides) under uncultured bacterium. RNAcentral describes it as "partial 16S ribosomal RNA". It matches the Rfam family "Bacterial small subunit ribosomal RNA", at positions 28 to 507 of the family's 1533-position model. The record is from RNAcentral.
GACGAACGCUGGCGGCGUGCUUAACACAUGCAAGUCGAACGGAAAGGCCCUGCUUUUGUUGGGUGCUCGAGUGGCGAACGGGUGAGUAACACGUGAGUAACCUGCCCUUGACUUUGUGGUAACUUCAGGAAACUGGGGCUAAUACCGGAUAGGAGCUCCUGCUGCGUGGGGUGGGUUGGAAAGUUUCGGCGGUUGGGGAUGGACUUGCGGCUUAUCAGCUUGUUGGUGGGGUAGUGGCUUACCAAGGCUUUGACGGGUAGCCGGCCUGAGAGGGUGACCGGCCACAUUGGGACUAAGAUACGGCCCAGUCUCCUACGGGAGGCAGCAGUGGGGAAUAUUGCACAAUGGGCGGAAGCCUGAUGCAGCAACGCCGCGUGCGGGAUGAAGGCGUUCGGGUUGAAAACCGCUUUCGAAUGUGACGAAGCGUGAGUGACGGUAAUGGGUAAAGAAGCACCGGCUAACUACGUG